This 294-nucleotide ribosomal RNA is filed under the name Triticum aestivum (bread wheat). Its description in RNAcentral is "partial small subunit ribosomal RNA". Lineage: Eukaryota; Viridiplantae; Streptophyta; Magnoliopsida; Poales; Poaceae. The record is from RNAcentral.
AUGGCGGAGGAACCGUCCGCCAAGCGUCAUCAUGGUGAGACGUCCGACAAGAGCAGCAUCCUCGACAACGUUCACGUCCCCAGUGAGAAGCGCGAGUACACCAAAACCCUCACAGGGGUUGAUCUCCACGGCAAGGAGACGCUGGAGAUCAUCUGCACCAGCGAACCAGACAAGGCCGGCAAGAUGAUCUCCAGGCUCUGGAGGAGGGCUGGCGGCUUGAUUCGUAGGAUCGUUGGCGUUGGUGUGCGGUACACCAGGGAAGAAGAACCUCCCCAGAUGGCAGCAGUCCUAUAG